This 28870-nucleotide long non-coding RNA is filed under the name Medicago truncatula (barrel medic). Its description in RNAcentral is "long non-coding RNA (MTRU_LNC001981)". The record is from RNAcentral. Lineage: Eukaryota; Viridiplantae; Streptophyta; Magnoliopsida; Fabales; Fabaceae.
UAAAAGCAUAAUUCAAAUUGCUCAUAAAAUGAUAUCUUCUUUUUACCUACACCUAUGCAUUAUCACUAAUGAAAUGUACUGUGAAGCUGUUUUGAACAACUAAGACACGGAAAUAAGGUUACCAAUCUGAGCCAUCAGAGAAAGGUUUGAGAGCAUCUUGUUUCCCAUUGACAUAAUAUUCGACAACUGCUUUCAUUCGCGGAAGCUUAUCAGGGUGGUAAUUCACGUGAACAAUUACUGGUUUCAAUUUACUGAGGUUAGCAUCGUUCCUCACUGUCUUGAAAAGAACUUUGCUGUUCAUAAAGAGAUACAUAUCCAUAGUUCUUCUAGCAGCAUGAAGCCCUUCAUAACCAGGGUGUGACGGAUAAAAUAGUUCCUCGUUGAAAACGGCUUGGUCCCAUGCAACCUCCUUGGAAAGCCGUGUCGCGACACGGUCCAAAAGCUCAAUUGAAGGAAUGGUUGGUCUGAUAUAGAAGAAACCGGAAUUGUAAACCCAUAUCCUCAUGGUAUGAGCGUAUCGAGCCCAACCCAUCGCAGGUUCGUCGAAGACAUCGUUAUAGCCGUAAGCUGUCAUGUUAUUAUGGCCAUCACUCAUGGACUCGACAUCUGAAUCACGGUAUAGAUGAUCAAAAGGAUUCUGUAAAUAUACAAUGUCAACGUCUGAUAAGAGAACACCAUAUCCCAACUGCAAAAAUUCUCUUAGAAUACGAAAUUUAAGCCCGGAGACAGCAUGGUUCCCUCCUUGUUUUCCAAUGGUGUCAAUACCAUCAUCUGGGUCUCUUUUGUAAAAUGGGACUUGAUUUGUUUCACAAAAUUUUGAAAUCUCAUCGUCUAAAGCAACAACUAGAUAAUUAGAUAUACCAACUCUCUUGAUAUUUGAGAACCAGACCUCUAACAUCUCCUUCACAUUGGAAUUUGCAAGUGCUACUAUGAUCUCUCGUUUAACUGAGAUUUUCUCCAAUAUCUUUGCCAAUCUUGGAUUCACGGAUUCAUCAGGAACAACAGUAGGAUUGGUUCUUAAUCCCUUGACAGUACCAAAAGGUCCAGCUUUUUCUUGUUUACCUAAUGCAAGAAAUUGUUUUUGAGCCUGGUCUUUCCCUUGCUCUGCAAGCCGAAGCCUUUCUGUCAACUCCCUCACCUGUUUUUUCAGCUCAGCGUUUUUGUCUGAUACUGCCACAAACUCUGAUUUCAACAUGUUGACUCUAUCUGAUGAUUCACAUUCAGCUGAGUUUUCCUGCCAAAAGAAUUCAUGAUAAAAAUUACAUCUGAUUGCAACUGUCACAGAAUGAUACCUCAUCAUGUAAACCAAAAAACUAGGAUACAAAAAAGACAAAUGUUUUCCUAUACAAAUCAAGGCAAAAGAUAGAUGCCUGUGUAUGCAAAAACAUCACUAAUAAACUAUGAACGAUACUGACUUUGGCAUGUAGACACCGGUAAUAAAUUAGAGACGAAUAUAAGUGAUUAUAUUUGUUAGAACAGCAACACCAGUUCAAGAGAAAAUAAAUACGAAAAAACGCAAACAAAGAACACGAGAUUUGACCAGAGCUCGGGCAGUUGUGCCCCUACAUCUCUCUCUGCUUAGCAAAUGCAGUACCUUUCUAUUAUUCAAAGCUUAUGGUUUACAAAUGACAACUCGUGUUUAAAUACAACGGUCCAGCUCACAACCCAUGAACUGGUACCCACCCGCACAAGCAACAUGCCCAUUUAUCAAUAAACUAUGAACCAUACCCAACAAUAUGUAACCACAACUCUCAGUGUCGGAAGACAAGUCUGACAUUCAUACUUCUUAUCUGAAAUGUCGGUGCUACAUAGCCUAUAAACCUCUUAAUGUGUGAGAAGCUUAACAAUAUCAACCACAUCUAACAACCCAAAUCUCCAACAACAACCAAACCUUAUCCCACUAAGUGGGGUCGGCUACAUGGAUCCAAUUACGCCAUAGUGUUCUAUCAUAAACCAUAUUUGGAUCCAACUCAUUCACCUCUAAAUCUUUCCUAAUAGUUUCUCUUAUGGUUUUCCUAGGUUUUCCUCUGCCUCUUUUAACCUGACUCUCCUCCAUCUGAUCUACUCUUCUUACGACGGCAUUUACAGGUCUUCUCUCUAUAAUAUCAAACCAUCUAAGCCUAUUUUCUACCAACUUUUCUACUAUAGGUGCUACCCUCACUCUCUCUCUCUCUAAUGAUGUAAUUCCUAAUCAUAUUCCUACCACUCAUCUCCGCUCCACUUACUUGAUUCUCGUGUUGGCUCUUAACCGCCCAACACUCCGUAUCAUACAACAAAUGUAGGAAAAAUCGCCACAUUGAACUAUGAUUCAAAAGUCAAAACUAUCAUCACUUUUAUCCCACAAUUCUAAAAUUCAGAAACUUAAUAUAUAUGACUAUCAAAUUCUAAAAUUUUCAGUCAACGAAAAUCAUUAAGAUUAAAACACAAUGACCAACAAUUAGUAAACGCAUCAAGAUCAAACACAUACACACAAUUACACAAAACACAACAAAAACAGUAAACUCAGAAGCAAAAAAAAUUGAGUCAACGAAAAUCAUGCAAGAGCUUAAAAUUCAAGACAAGACCCAAAAUUCAAAAAUGAAAGAAAAACACAAAAGCUACAAUCUUUGAUGAAAAUAAAACCUGGGUUUUGGAUCCAACAACAGCGAUGCGACGAUUUGAUGUAAUAGAUUGAGAAACAAAGAAGCCAUUAGGAAAAAAGAAAGCUAAGAUGCAUCCAAUAAGAACACCAAUUACUACAGCAGUAACGAUCCUUGAUUUGCGUAGAGAAUGAGGGUUGUUUCGCAUUAAGGGUCCUUCUCUUUCUCUGCGCCCAAUCAUUGUAGCUACCACCACCUCAAAGACUGAGAUUGAGAUGGUAGUUUUGUUGUUCUUCUGGUUAUGGGGUUUUGAAGAACAGAGAUUUCGAAACUGGUUUUGAUUGAGCUACAAGAUUAUCAAAUAUUCUUGAUAUCAAAUUGCAAGUUGAAAAAGAAUUCAAUGUUAGAUUGUAUUUUUCGAUUGAAUUAAAAUACCAUUCCCUUUGUUUUUUUGACUAAAUUAAAUUAUAUCAACUUUUUCAUUUUUAUUUCUUUUUUUAAAAGAAAAAAAAAGAAAAAUAAAUGCUUUAUCAAAAAUAAUUUAUCAAUAAGAGGAUAGUUAUAAAUAAAAUAAUUUAAAUAAAAUGUAAAAUUCAAAGAAAUCAAAUUUUACCUUAUACUACCAAAAAUAAAGUAUUCUUACAAAAGUUGGUACUCCUCAAAAAAUAAAAAAGUUGGUACUCCUUAAUAUAUACAACAAAAGUAAACGGUUUGUCCUCAUGAAUUUAGUUUAGUUGAUAGAGACAAAUGCAUAUUAUAUGCAAGAUUCGGAGUUUGAAUCCCAAACACAUCACUUCUUAUAAGUUUUGACUAUUAUUUGACAAAAAGAUAAGUGGUGUUUAUUUUUUAGUAACGUAUUUUUUCAAUGUUGUCCGGAACACAUAAGUAAUAAUUUUUUAAAAAAGAGAUUACAGACAUAAUAUUAUUAUUUGGGUUAUCUAAAAUAAUAUAAAGUAUUGUUCGUAUUACAACCCAUAAUUUAUUAAAUGAACUAUUUACAUUUACCUAAAAUAUAAAAUAGAUAAAUUGUGUAAGUUGAAAUAAUAAGAUGGACCAACCUAAGAAGAAAAAAGAAAUUGUGUUAAUCAUCUGGUUCUCGGGAGAAAGCGGCUCUGAUAAUCUGGAGUUUAGUAAACAAAAUUAUUUCAUUAUAUAUAAAAUUGAUUAAAAUAAAUAAUUUAAUUUUAAUCAAAUAAUUAUUUUUUUUUUAUCAAUCUAUGGUUUAAAAAAUGAAUUAUCUAUUAAAAUUACAAAAAGGUCAGGUUAAUAAAAAAAUUCUCAUCAAGGUCAUGGCAGACCUCAAGCUACAGAUCAUCAUUAAAGAUGUCCUCACAUUGACCGUGGCAAUUGAAUCCACAAUCUUGCGUGUGACUCUACUCCUCUUAUCGAUUGAGUCAACCUUCAUUGAAAAUUAAUAAUUAAAUUUGACAAAAGCUAUUAUGAGUUUAAUAUUAUUUAAACUGAGGUUUAAUGAUGGAUAAAACUAAAAAGCAAAUAAAUAAUUAGAAUUAAAAUGUAGGAUUAUAUUUAAAAAUAAAAAAUAUAUAUGUGUAUAUAAUCAAUAAUAAUCAUAAUAAUAGAUUUGUCGUCCAAGAAUACUUAAAUGAUAUGAUAAGGGAUCUCUUCAAAUUUAUCCAAAGGCCAUGGGUUAUUGUGUUUAAGUCUAACCAUAUGCAUGCAACAAUAUUAAAUAUCUUGAAGAGAACUUUGCCAAUUAUUAUGGUCAUAUCUAGUUCGAAGGAUUAGUCUGCAAUUAUACGCAGAGGAUAUCCAGUUCACGCCAAAAAAAGAUCUUAAAACAAAAAUUAUAGUAAUAAUAGCAGUUAUUGGGGACGACAAAAAGAAAUGAGGAAUGCUAUUUCCCACGAAAUGCAAUUCCGCGAAUACCACAAUCAAGUACAAAUUUGUUAUCACAAUUUUUGUUUAAUAUAAAAAAAAAAUACACAAAAAGAGGAUUUGGUGGAAAACAUGGGGCGGUAGUGUUAUUCGCAGGUUUCGUUUUUUUUUAUUCGUAGUAAAAAGUAUUUCCCAAAAGAAAUAUAAGCUAGUAUGCGCCAAUAAGAUCAACCAUGGGUAUGAAGUGGAUAUUUUAAGUACCCUCUAUUAAUGGAUACAAACAUUUUUUAAAGGAGAAUGCUAACCAUUGUCCUUGGGGCAUUGGAUAAGGGGAUAAAAAUAGAAAUAUAGUAUUGGAAAAUGGUGAAAAGUGAUAAGUUUAACUUUUUAAAAGUCAAAAUAUUGUUGAAGCCAAUGCAAAUAUGCUACUUUUGGCUUCCUUAACCACUGCUCUGAGGACAAUGGUUAGCAAGACCCUUUUUUAAAACAUUCAAAUAAAAAAAAGUUUUUAUCCAUUAAUUGAGGGUACUUAAAUUAUCCACUUUACACCCAUGGAAGUAAUGAUAUCCGUACUUAAAUUUCCCCUGUAAUUUUUUUUUUUUUUUUUAAAUUUCAUCCUUGUAAUUUGAAGAUUUUUUGGUUUUAAAUUUCACUCCCUGUUAAUUUGAUCAAAUUUUGGUUUACCCCCUGCCAUAGCUUCAAUUUUGUACGGUCAAAAUUCAUGAAGGUCCAAAACAAAAAAAUCUUCAAAUUACAAGGACGAAAUCCAAAUAAUAUAUUUACAGUGGGUAAAACCGAAAAUGACCUAUAUUACAGGGUAAAACACUAUUAACAUUAAACUCAUUGAAUAAAAUAAUAUUAAAAAAUUAAUAAUUAAACUUAUUGAAUCAAAUUAUUUUAUGGUUAAAAUUUGAUUCCAAUUAUGAUGCUAAAAAUAUAAAGAAGUGAUAGCUUAUUAAACCUUAUUUAAAAUUUAGAUAUAGAGAUGAUAUCUUGAAAUGUUUAUGUGAUUUUUUUUAACGAAAAGAGUUAGCUAGCAAAGUGCUAGGCUGUCAAAAUACAUAGAUAGCAAGAAAGCAAACAACAAAAGGACAGGAUGGGGACCAAGCCAAAUCCACCCCAAUGGUAAACAAACCUAAAAUUAGGCAAGUCUAAUAUAUUUUUUACAUAAUAAACUUUAAUGCAAUCUGGAUCUCUAACUGAAACGCUGCAAGUGUACGGUUAUAUCAGUUUUAGUAUAAAGAGUUGUCGAAUCUACAAAGACUAAUUCACAAGUACGGUUAUCUGUCGUUUCUUUGUCUAUCUAAGGCUAGUUCAUAAUAAUUUUUGUUUCGCUUUGCGCGUAAUUGCACUAUUUAAUUAUGACGAGAACACAAUUAUUUAUAGAAAAAUAUUAAAUUAGAGAUACCGUCUUGCUUUCGUAAACCGUUAUCAGAUUCUAUCACGUAAUUCCCUACUUUCGUAGAUUUAAUUACGCGUCUAAAAUUCCUUUUUAAAAUUCAAUAAAUUCUUGAUUAAUUAGAAAAAAGUGCUUUUGCUACUUUAUUUAAUUAAUAACUUGAAUUUUCCAAGUCAAAUAUCAUUUCCGUUUCCGCUCUUUCAGACGCUUAAACGAUAUUUCUAUAUUCCUAUUUUAGCAGCGAAGUAUUAAAUUAAAAACAGAAUUUUCUGACCAACAAUUUCAUUCUUGUUAUAAUUAAUCAUGCAUGCAAUUUAUUUAUAUGAGUUCCGUUGAUACGAAGGACCGAACCAUUAUUCAGUUGGUAACUUUGAUUUAAGAAAAGCAAUCACAGCAAUUAGAAAAGAUUGGCACGGCACAGUGAAAAUAAGCAAAUGGAAUUAAGCAAGGCAGUUGGAAUUAAAUGGCAGCGUGAAUACAUAUAGAUUGUAGUUUGAACAAUUGUGGGUAACAUAUCCGGUGCUAAUGGAAAUUACAAGCACAAUUGUGUGUGCUUGCGUUAUGGGUAACAAAUGUCUUAUAUGUUUGUGUUGAUAGAAGCGUUAAUUUAGGUUUGGUUGAGUUUUUUUAACUGUUAGUUUUUGCAUGCAAGUGAUUGACACUAAGGGAGGAAUUAUGUCCCUACCUUAUGGGUUUUCUAACUUCUCCAUUACGGUUGUUUUUUUAUUUUGAACUACACUUAAAAAUAAAGAUAAAGACGGAAAUGUAAAGUGAUAAAAAUGUGAAAAAAAAAGUUUGUUUCAUUUGUUGGAUGUGUUAAUUACACUAUAUUUGUUGAGUAUUUAUAGUGAAACUAUUUCUUAUCAGACAAACGACAUGGACUAUAGUGCUAAACCUUUGUUCCGCUCAUUUUGCGAGUAGUGUGUGAGUUUCCAUUGCUCAUGGGAUUAUGGUACCCCACAUUCAACUUCAGUUUUCUUCACGGUGUGGUCUGUUGACAUAAUAUCUAUGCUCAACUCGAUUAUGAUAGUGGCCUUAUUUUCGAUCUCUCAAGUGCGGCUAGUGGAGCUAGAAACAUGAAAUAUGGGUUUCACACAUCAUUUACUAGUCACAUUAUGUUUCGACUUAGUUUGAGGCUCUUUCGAUCCAUGUAAUGAGUUAGUGGCCUCAGGAAAGAAUUGGCUUUAUUCGCGCGAAUGUUUUGGAAUUGCCUAACCUUCGAUCGGCUGGGAGUCUUAAAGAUGAUUAUUUUUAAGUGUAAACAAAUGCCACAUGCAUUGUAUUAUUGGUUAACCCUUAAGAAAUGAGAUGAUGUGACACAAACAUUAGAGUAUUAUGUGAACAAUGUCAUUACUGCACCAUAAAAACUUGUUAAACCAAGGAGAAAACUACAAUGAAUUUUCCCGUUGAGAGGGGGAAGUGUUAUCUUGACGCAUGUGAGAGAACUAUUGUCAUGAAGAUGUGCUCUUUGUGUGUUGGAGAAGAAGCGAUGUUGACGUCACCCCCUGCACGGGAGAGAGGACAAUGUUAGCUUGACUUUAAAGAGUAUGAAUCGUGGAACGAAGAGUCGUGACAAUUCCAGAGCUCUCAUCGACAGUUUUUUUAGCAUGAGAUGGACGAGAAUCAACCAUUGAGAACGUAACAAAAAACAAUUGUGACGGAGCCGAAAUAAUUACGAUGGUGGAAUAAGAGGAAUCCUAGGGUAACGAUCGAGUUUCCCCUCCUUCUAGCGCCAAUGUUCUUGAGUAGACCACGAUAGAGAUGCACUUGUGAAUAUGCUCGUUCUAGGGAGAGUCAAGCGCAGGAGAGGGAACAUUAUGGUGAAAAGGAGGUUGUUCUCCGCCGAGGGGAAAGAGACCUGCAAAACAGGUUAAGACUCCGACGUUCAAGUUAGUGAGAGAAUUGAGGAGCAAAAUGUGCAAAAAGUGAUGAAAUUGGGAUCAUAUCUUGGGCGUUGAUGACAGUCUAUCAUAUCACAUUUUUAGAAUUUUUUUAAUUAAGUUUUAAUUCUAUUUUUUAUUAGUUUAGUACUUAAUUUAGAGUCCUUUUAAAUAAAUUAUCAUAUCUUUAUUUAUUGACUCAAGUCGUGAAAUGAAUAAAAUUGGUGUUUAUUAUCAUGAUAUUUGGUAACAUAUCAAAGAGGAGUAAAUCAGGGGUGUCAAAAAGAAUGGCUUUAAGAAUUCAUUGAUAAGGCUUAUGUUGGUCCAAGAGAAAAGAAACGUGUAACAUGCAUCAGUGAAUAAAAAAAGCAAUUAGAUCACAAGUUAUAUAUAUGGGUGGGGAUAUUUUGACUCCAAGAGUAAGUGUAAUAUCUUACUCCAAAUCUUGACCUUUAAUUCUAAUAUUGGUUAAUGACUUAAAUUAAUUGAUAUGAUAGGCUUUAAUUCCAUUUUCUAUUGUAGUGAACACUUAUGACUACAAAAUAACAAAACAAUAAAUGUCUUUUAAUUGCAUGAUUUUUUUUUUCUUCCAUUGUUUUUUUUUUUGUUUCAUGCAAAAAUAUUUUUUUAGGGUUAAAUUAAAAUCCUUUCCUUGAAAUAAAAAUUCAACAUGAUUAAUACAUGUGUAGGUAAGUGUUCUUACAUUUGUACAUGUUGUCUUUAUUAUUUAAUUUAAAUUAAUGAUUAAAAUACCUAUUUUUACUUAUGUUCAAAUACAGGUUUAUGGCCAUGCUUGGAUCCACAACAUAGUGAUUUAUAAGGCAUCAUGAGUGGCAUAAUGUGUGAUCAAAUAUACCUCUUUACGAUGUUGGAAUUUUUGCGAAUUUGUUUUUGAAUUUUUAGCUCUUGUUAUGUUAUGUUAUGUUAUGUUGGAUUAACGUGUUUUUUUCUUUUUUCUUUUCUUUUUAAUGUUAUGUUGAAUUCUUGAGCUCUUUCUCCAAUAACAUCUUCAUCCAUGUAUGUCAGUGACAACAAAAACUAAUUACGAUGGAGAUGAUUAUUUUAAUUUAUCGUUAUUUAUAUAAGAAAAUACACAAAUUUAUUAAUUUUUUUAUGCAAUUAUUGUUAUAUAAGAAAAUACACAAAUUUAUUUAUUCUUUUAUGCAAUUAUUGUAAAUGAAUUAGAUACAAGAAAAGACUAGGGUUACUUCCUCUAUCGUCUUUUUUUUUCGUGACAGAUUAGUACAAAAAUGUGUGUUUACAAAAAAAUAUAAGAAAAGAUCAGGAUUAUAAUGAAGAAAUAAAAAAAAAUAUGUUGUAUAAAAAAUAGUAACGGAAGAAAGAAUAAAUAUGCAAAUCUUUGAAUUUUACAAUUGUUUUCUUUAAAAAAAAUAUAUGCAAUUUUUUUAGCGUAAAAAAGUAAAGGGAGAAGGAAAAAGAAGAAAAAAAAAAUCUUUUAGCGUAAAAAAAUAUAUUCAAUUUCUUUGAAGGAAUAGAAUGAGUGAAUCUUGAAAUUUUUAUUUCAAGAAAAGGAUUUUAAUUUAACCCUCAAAAAAUAUUUUAGCGUGAAACAAAAAAAAAACAAUGGAAGAAGAAAAAGAAAUCAUGCAAUUAAAAGACAUUUAUUGGUUUGUUAUUUUGAGGUGAUAAGUGUUGACUACAAUAGAAAAUGGAAUUAAAGCCUAUCAUAUCAAUUAAUCUAAGCCAUUAAUCAAUAUUAGAAUUAAAGGUCAAGAUUUGUAGUAAGAUAUUACACUUACUCUUGGAGUCAAAAUAUCCCCACCCUAUAUAUAUAUAUAUAUAGGCUUAAUACAUCCCCCGGUCCCUUAACUUAUUUUAAUUUCUCAGUGUGGUCCCUUAACUAUUAAACGUUUCAAUUUAGUCCUUAUCUUUGUUUUCGUCAUCGAUUUGGUCCAAUUUUAUUAAUUUUAAAUCCCUAAAAANGCAUUAUGUGGAUUAUAUAAGAUGUUUAAGUGUUGUUGAUUUUCAUUUGAUAUUGUUAUAUCUUGAGAUGUUUUUGUGCUGCCUAUUUUGCUGUUGUAUAUUAACUAAGCUGCAUGAUCCGGUCUAAGAUGUAAGAUGUCGUUCCAAAGUGUUGGAGUCCUAAGUUGUUGAUGUUGUCCAAGUUGUACACGUUACUGAGUCCAUGUAUACUCAUUUAAGUUAGGGACUUGAUGCCCUGGAGCCUUUGCUCAACACGUUGGGGGCUUGAUGACCUGUGAGCUUUUGCUCAAAUAAGUUGAGGGCUUGAUGCCAUGAGAGUGUAUUUAUGCUCAAAUAAGUUGGGGGCUUGAUGCCCUGGAUUGGUACCACAUGCAUGAUUAAGAAGAAUAAGUUGCAUAGUCAAGUCGAUGCAUUGUCGAGUCAAGUUGUUAAGUUGAUAAGUUAUGUUUUUUUUAAUGAAGUGUUUAACGAAGAAUUAUUAUUAUGAUGUGUUGAUGAUGUUUAUGUUGUUAAAUAUAAUUGAUGAAUUAUAUGCUUAAUAUUAUUGUUUGUUAAAUCUCACCCCUUCUGCUUGGAAAUGUUGCCCUUCGUAUGGGUAACUUGCAGGUGAUCAAGAGUAGUUGCUGUUAGUUGCUGUUGUGAGUGGUUUCUCUCUCACGUGUCUUAGGUGCUCUGAUACGUAACGUGAUGAGAUUUUAUUGUUGCUUUCUAUUCCUUACGUAUUACUUUAUGAAGUUUCAUGACUAUGUUUAUAGAUUGGAUUUUUAUGAGAUGUUUAUGAUGAGGCCUUCGUGCCAAAGACUGUUUUUAGAUGUUGAAUAAAUUCCGCUGCGAAGUAUUAAAUAUUAUGUUGUUGAAUUUUGAAGGAUAAAUAGUUAUUUAUUCCGUUUAUGAUUUUUAAGAAAAGAAGUGUGACAUUCCGUUUAUGUUGAAAAACUCUGAUUAUAUGCGAAAUUUUUAUGUUGGGAAAACGAGGUGUUACAUCGUUCAUAAUAAACGGGUUAAGUCAAGGUCCACAAAGGUGACUAGCUCGACAAGCCAUAUAAGACCGACCUUCAGCACCACCUUAAGAAAAAUAGCACCUUGCAACGACGUGCUAGGCAGGGUGACAACCUUCUUCACCAUCUCGUCCGCACUAAAGUGACGAUAUGCGCUCUGCCACCUUAAGCGUAACCAUCAUUUGGAUAGCUAUUAGGUCGUUCCUACGUAGAGGGACCUAACCUAAUCCGGAUAGGUGCCUCUGCCUAUCUCGGAUAUAGUUAGACUAAACAAACCUUCAGAUAUAGAAGAGUUAUUCCUACUUACAAGGCAUUCAUCUUAAUCUGAUAGGCACUUCCACCUAUCUUAGGUAUGAUUAUUCUAAUCAUCCAGAUUAACCUUGUAACAAACAAUAUUAGAGUUAAGUAGAGAAGAUAUAGAAACAAACAAGGAGAUCAACAUCAAAUCAACUACAAUAAAUAUAGGGUCUCUCCCCUAGGUACGAUCAUCUCAUAACUAAUAUCUCACUUUGUUACCUGAUAGCUGAUGGGUUGUUUUAGUGGCAUAAAAAAUAAGUAUUCAUAUAAAAUUUGUAUCCAUAGAGACUCGUGCGAUACUAAAGCUAUUCAACAAUCAAAUUGGUUUGAUUAUAUAAAGUGAGUUGUUUAAACAUGUAUUUUGGUUUGUGCAAUGUAAGUGCUAAAACCAAAAUAAGUUCGUAUUCUCAAAGGUUAAACAUCAUUAACUAAUCAUCUAAUGUCAUUCCUUACUUGAUUAUAGACUCAUUCGAUUUAUGUUAUACCUUCAGUUGUCCAUCAACAUUGUUUCCAUAUCUGACAAACAACUGGAGAUCUAUUGUAUUAAUUAACUUCUGGUGUUGAGAAAAAUAGUUGAAUAAUUGAUGACAUGUCAUCUUACGUUAUUUUCAACAUACUUUUCAGUCAUUUUAUUUAGAUUUUGAUCCAAUUUAGAGGAGUUUUAGAACAAUUGCCUAUGAUUUUUGGGAUAUUUGUAAUGUUUUCCUUUCAAGUCAUGUAAUUCUAGUCUUCCCGAAAUCAAACAGUUAUUAGGUGCUUUUGAUGUAAUUCAAUGCAAAAACAUACAAAUCGGCAAAGUAGAGCAUCUCAAAAGGAUUUGGGAAGACAAUGGAUGAUGAUUCAAGAGACCUCUAAAGACAUUACAAAGAGGAGAAUUCAUAUCCCAAGUCAAAAAAGUGUUAUUUUUAAUUCAAAUUUUCCUUUUUUGGAUUCCUUAACUAGUGCCCCGGAGGCACCGGUUAACCGGACCCUUAAAAUAUUACAUAUGUAUAGUGUUUUUUUAAAAGGAUAUUUAUAGUGUUACGUGGUUUAAUUUCAUACUUGUUCCUUUGGUUUGGUGGAAAAGUCAUAUCUUAUAUGACUCAUUGUAAUAGGUUCGAUUCUUCCGAAAAAUAAAAAUAAUUUAUUGUGACUAUUUUUGAGUGUGAGACAAUUAUAAUUAUUACUUUUAUAUUGCGUAUAAUUAAAAAUAUUUAUUUUUAUAAUGUUAUAAUUUUUUUUCUAAAAUAUACAGAAUAAAUAGAAAUCGAAGAUACAUUAUUUCUAUUGUGAUGAAAUUGUUCCUAUUUUAAUGAGAUUUAAUUUUCUUUUUUAACUAAAAAUUUAAAUAAUAUAAUAAAAAGAUAAAAUUAUUUGCAAUGACAAUAGUUUAAAUAAAUGGUAUAAUUGAAAGAAAAGUACUAGGUGAAAAACAUGUAUUAUCUUUGUAAAUGAAUAGAUAAAAUAAUGUGCUUUGACUUUUUUCUUUUGAAACAUAAAAUGAGCUUUGACUGGGUAUAGCAAUGCAGUGUACUCAACUUUAGAGUUGAUAAUAUAGUAUAGGGUGCAAGUCUUCAAUUUGAGGGUGUGCAAGAUAAAAACAAAACAUAGUAUAAAAUAAAAAGACUUGAGACUGUGCCAUAUGCCAGCGUUCUUUACGUUAACUCCAUCGAUAAAUGUUUCAUGAACUCAUUCUUUUGGUAUUUAAUAUUUUUCCCUUUCUUUCGUAUGCAUCAACCAAAAACAAAUAUUCACUACCAAUCAAAAACAAAUAUUCACUACUUCACCAAAAAUAAUAAAUUCACUAUUACGCAAGCCUCUCACAUAAUCUUGAUAAUGAUGAAGAAAGGUAUUAUAAAAUUACAAGUUGAAAUCAUAAUUUCAGUAAAAAAUUGAAAUAAGAAUAACUUAUUAGAAUUUAUUUUCCAAUUAUUAAAAUAUCAUUCCUUUUGUUUUGGCUAAAGUUAAAAAUAUCAACAUUUUCAUUCUUUCAUUUUACUUUUACAAUUAAUCAUCUAUUUUUCGGAUGUUACUUCAUUUGUAGUAUAUGGAAUCUUGUCUUUUGAUCGGUCUGAAUCUCUUUCAUUAGUGCAACUGACAUCGAUGAGUAAGCUUUGUAGUUAUGUGGUGCACAAAUGUUAUGUGGAAAUAACAUAAUAUAGAUUUUCCGUAAUAAAGAGUCAUCAUUGAAUCAUUUACUUUAUCACAUAAUGCUUAACGUUUGGUGAUGGUUGAAGACCAACAAACUUGACACCGUUGUCGAUUUUUUAAUUGAUAAUUUAAAUAAUAUUGUUAAAAUAAUGUCCCCUUUACAAUAUACUACUAGCAGACAUGCACAUUAAAAUGGUAAAAAGUAAUUAAGUCUAGGGUAAAAUUGACAGAAAAAUGGUUACACUAACACACAAUUUUAAAUGGGAUUUACUUAAUUUUUUAAUUGAUAAAUUAANAGUUUUGUUUUGUUCUGGUUAUAUAGGGUUUUGAAGCUUUGGAGGGUUAAUUAAGAAAUGGAGAAUUGGGUGGUCAGUUUGAGCACAUAUAUUCACUUCGAAACUGAAUUUGAUUGAAUUACUAGUCUCUAAUAUAUAGAUAUAGGAAUGUGUGAUUUUGGAGUGUUUUUUUCACUUUCAAAUUUAUCAUUCAUUUAAAUUAUUAUAUUUACAAUCAUAACCCUUUUAUUAAAUUAUUAAUUGUAACGGUAUGAACCUAACAGGACCGACCCAAUUAUCUUUGGGUCGUUUGUAACGCCCUCUUUAAUUAUUUGAUUAUUUUUAUAGAGUUUAGAGUUUAUUAUAUGAUUGAGGUGAUUUAAAUGAUUAUGUGAUGUGUGUUAUUUUAUUUAAGAGGCCUUAUUUUAUUAUUUAAUAGAAUAAGACUUGAAAAUAAAAUAAAUUUUAAGAUGAGGGGUUGUUUUGAGAAUUUAGAGAGUUUUGUGAGAAAAGAGGAAAUAAGAUAAAAUAGAUGAGAAGAGAUAAAUAGGAGAAAAUAGGUUUAUAAUUAUUUUCACGUACAACCAGUUUUGGAGAAAAGGGAGAACAAGAGGAAAAGAGAAUCAAGAGAGAGGCUGCCCAAUCGAAAUCCUAAGGUAAGGGUGGGACUAACAUUCAAUCUUCUUAAGCCUAUGAUUAUGAUGAUUAGAUUUAACAUGUUGUAGGGUUAGUUUUUGAGAAUUGGAAAUUAGGGUUAAGAGUGAUAAUUGAGGAUUAGAUGAUGGAAACUUGUAGAAUUGAUGUAGAAAGUGUGUACAGACCUUAGAUAAUCCAUAGGGUGAUGUUUAUAAUCAGUUUUAAGCUUAGAACUAUGUGAAUUGUUGCAUUUUCGUGAAAAAUUGCAUUCUGUCCGAGCGGACAUUCAUCGCUCGCCCUCGUGAGCAGCAUGCCUCCCCUCGCGAGUGAUGAAGUUCAUUGCUCGCCUCGCGAGUAAAUGUUCUUCGCCUCACAAGUGAACCCAGAUGUCACUUGCCAUAGCGAGCAGAUCACUCGCCAUAGCGAGUUGAUCAGUGAGUGAACCAUGAUUUUGAGAAUUAACUGGUUUAGUCGAACUUUAGAUGAUUUUGGGUGCCUGAACAUGUAUAAGAAUGAUUAGGCAAGUUCUUAGAUUGAAAUUGAACAUAGGGAAGUUAAAAAUGAAAUUUUUGAGUGAAAAAUGUCAAGUUCCCGAGAGCACCCAGUUUCUGGCUCGCCAAGGCGAGCAACCUUUUUCUGAACUCGCCAUAGCGAGUAGAGUGGCUCGCCUCACGAGCUGCACAGUGUCAGACAACCUUGUUUAGGGUUCUUGCGAUCUUUGUCGCACAUGAGGUUUUGAGUUGAUCCUUGGGUUAGGAAUGGAGGUUGAUUAUAAUAUUAUUGAUGUUCAAUGAGUCUGAUAUAAUAUGAUUUGAUGUUGAUAGUAAUGUGAUAUAUUUGUAUAUGCAUUAUGUGGAUUAUAUAAGAUGUUUAAGUGUUGUUGAUUUUCAUUUGAUAUUGUUAUAUCUUGAGAUGUUUUUGUGCUGCCUAUUUUGCUGUUGUAUAUUAACUAAGCUGCAUGAUCCGGUCUAAGAUGUAAGAUGUCGUUCCAAAGUGUUGGAGUCCUAAGUUGUUGAUGUUGUCCAAGUUGUACACGUUACUGAGUCCAUGUAUACUCAUUUAAGUUAGGGACUUGAUGCCCUGGAGCCUUUGCUCAACACGUUGGGGGCUUGAUGUCCUGUGAGCUUUUGCUCAAAUAAGUUGAGGGCUUGAUGCCAUGAGAGUGUAUUUAUGCUCAAAUAAGUUGGGGGCUUGAUGCCCUGGAUUGGUACCACAUGCAUGAUUAAGAAGAAUAAGUUGCAUAGUCAAGUCGAUGCAUUGUCGAGUCAAGUUGUUAAGUUGAUAAGUUAUGUUUUUUUUAAUGAAGUGUUUAACGAAGAAUUAUUAUUAUGAUGUGUUGAUGAUGUUUAUGUUGUUAAAUAUAAUUGAUGAAUUAUAUGCUUAAUAUUAUUGUUUGUUAAAUCUCACCCCUUCUGCUUGGAAAUGUUGCCCUUCGUAUGGGUAACUUGCAGGUGAUCAAGAGUAGUUGCUGUUAGUUGCUGUUGUGAGUGGUUUCUCUCUCACGUGUCUUAGGUGCUCUGAUACGUAACGUGAUGAGAUUUUAUUGUUGCUUUCUAUUCCUUACGUAUUACUUUAUGAAGUUUCAUGACUAUGUUUAUAGAUUGGAUUUUUAUGAGAUGUUUAUGAUGAGGCCUUCGUGCCAAAGACUGUUUUUAGAUGUUGAAUAAAUUCCGCUGCGAAGUAUUAAAUAUUAUGUUGUUGAAUUUUGAAGGAUAAAUAGUUAUUUAUUCCGUUUAUGAUUUUUAAGAAAAGAAGUGUGACAUUCCGUUUAUGUUGAAAAACUCUGAUUAUAUGCGAAAUUUUUAUGUUGGGAAAACGAGGUGUUACAUCGUUCAUAAUAAACGGGUUAAGUCAAGGUCCACAAAGGUGACUAGCUCGACAAGCCAUAUAAGACCGACCUUCAGCACCACCUUAAGAAAAAUAGCACCUUGCAACGACGUGCUAGGCAGGGUGACAACCUUCUUCACCAUCUCGUCCGCACUAAAGUGACGAUAUGCGCUCUGCCACCUUAAGCGUAACCAUCAUUUGGAUAGCUAUUAGGUCGUUCCUACGUAGAGGGACCUAACCUAAUCCGGAUAGGUGCCUCUGCCUAUCUCGGAUAUAGUUAGACUAAACAAACCUUCAGAUAUAGAAGAGUUAUUCCUACUUACAAGGCAUUCAUCUUAAUCUGAUAGGCACUUCCACCUAUCUUAGGUAUGAUUAUUCUAAUCAUCCAGAUUAACCUUGUAACAAACAAUAUUAGAGUUAAGUAGAGAAGAUAUAGAAACAAACAAGGAGAUCAACAUCAAAUCAACUACAAUAAAUAUAGGGUCUCUCCCCUAGGUACGAUCAUCUCAUAACUAAUAUCUCACUUUGUUACCUGAUAGCUGAUGGGUUGUUUUAGUGGCAUAAAAAAUAAGUAUUCAUAUAAAAUUUGUAUCCAUAGAGACUCGUGCGAUACUAAAGCUAUUCAACAAUCAAAUUGGUUUGAUUAUAUAAAGUGAGUUGUUUAAACAUGUAUUUUGGUUUGUGCAAUGUAAGUGCUAAAACCAAAAUAAGUUCGUAUUCUCAAAGGUUAAACAUCAUUAACUAAUCAUCUAAUGUCAUUCCUUACUUGAUUAUAGACUCAUUCGAUUUAUGUUAUACCUUCAGUUGUCCAUCAACAUUGUUUCCAUAUCUGACAAACAACUGGAGAUCUAUUGUAUUAAUUAACUUCUGGUGUUGAGAAAAAUAGUUGAAUAAUUGAUGACAUGUCAUCUUACGUUAUUUUCAACAUACUUUUCAGUCAUUUUAUUUAGAUUUUGAUCCAAUUUAGAGGAGUUUUAGAACAAUUGCCUAUGAUUUUUGGGAUAUUUGUAAUGUUUUCCUUUCAAGUCAUGUAAUUCUAGUCUUCCCGAAAUCAAACAGUUAUUAGGUGCUUUUGAUGUAAUUCAAUGCAAAAACAUACAAAUCGGCAAAGUAGAGCAUCUCAAAAGGAUUUGGGAAGACAAUGGAUGAUGAUUCAAGAGACCUCUAAAGACAUUACAAAGAGGAGAAUUCAUAUCCCAAGUCAAAAAAGUGUUAUUUUUAAUUCAAAUUUUCCUUUUUUGGAUUCCUUAACUAGUGCCCCGGAGGCACCGGUUAACCGGACCCUUAAAAUAUUACAUAUGUAUAGUGUUUUUUUAAAAGGAUAUUUAUAGUGUUACGUGGUUUAAUUUCAUACUUGUUCCUUUGGUUUGGUGGAAAAGUCAUAUCUUAUAUGACUCAUUGUAAUAGGUUCGAUUCUUCCGAAAAAUAAAAAUAAUUUAUUGUGACUAUUUUUGAGUGUGAGACAAUUAUAAUUAUUACUUUUAUAUUGCGUAUAAUUAAAAAUAUUUAUUUUUAUAAUGUUAUAAUUUUUUUUCUAAAAUAUACAGAAUAAAUAGAAAUCGAAGAUACAUUAUUUCUAUUGUGAUGAAAUUGUUCCUAUUUUAAUGAGAUUUAAUUUUCUUUUUUAACUAAAAAUUUAAAUAAUAUAAUAAAAAGAUAAAAUUAUUUGCAAUGACAAUAGUUUAAAUAAAUGGUAUAAUUGAAAGAAAAGUACUAGGUGAAAAACAUGUAUUAUCUUUGUAAAUGAAUAGAUAAAAUAAUGUGCUUUGACUUUUUUCUUUUGAAACAUAAAAUGAGCUUUGACUGGGUAUAGCAAUGCAGUGUACUCAACUUUAGAGUUGAUAAUAUAGUAUAGGGUGCAAGUCUUCAAUUUGAGGGUGUGCAAGAUAAAAACAAAACAUAGUAUAAAAUAAAAAGACUUGAGACUGUGCCAUAUGCCAGCGUUCUUUACGUUAACUCCAUCGAUAAAUGUUUCAUGAACUCAUUCUUUUGGUAUUUAAUAUUUUUCCCUUUCUUUCGUAUGCAUCAACCAAAAACAAAUAUUCACUACCAAUCAAAAACAAAUAUUCACUACUUCACCAAAAAUAAUAAAUUCACUAUUACGCAAGCCUCUCACAUAAUCUUGAUAAUGAUGAAGAAAGGUAUUAUAAAAUUACAAGUUGAAAUCAUAAUUUCAGUAAAAAAUUGAAAUAAGAAUAACUUAUUAGAAUUUAUUUUCCAAUUAUUAAAAUAUCAUUCCUUUUGUUUUGGCUAAAGUUAAAAAUAUCAACAUUUUCAUUCUUUCAUUUUACUUUUACAAUUAAUCAUCUAUUUUUCGGAUGUUACUUCAUUUGUAGUAUAUGGAAUCUUGUCUUUUGAUCGGUCUGAAUCUCUUUCAUUAGUGCAACUGACAUCGAUGAGUAAGCUUUGUAGUUAUGUGGUGCACAAAUGUUAUGUGGAAAUAACAUAAUAUAGAUUUUCCGUAAUAAAGAGUCAUCAUUGAAUCAUUUACUUUAUCACAUAAUGCUUAACGUUUGGUGAUGGUUGAAGACCAACAAACUUGACACCGUUGUCGAUUUUUUAAUUGAUAAUUUAAAUAAUAUUGUUAAAAUAAUGUCCCCUUUACAAUAUACUACUAGCAGACAUGCACAUUAAAAUGGUAAAAAGUAAUUAAGUCUAGGGUAAAAUUGACAGAAAAAUGGUUACACUAACACACAAUUUUAAAUGGGAUUUACUUAAUUUUUUAAUUGAUAAAUUAAUUAAUAUUAUAAAAAUGGUCAAAUGGUUUAAAUGAAGGUUAAAACCGGAAAAUAAAUAGUAAAUAAACGGACACUAAUGUGCACUGUUUAUCUGUUUUUCUACUGCAUUUAACUGUAUAUAAAAAGAUAUAAAAGUUUUGGGAUAUAGUCCGAUCAAAUCUUUUCGGCAAAUAAUAUUAAUAUAAACAUUUUAAAUAUAAAUAUAAUUGUUUGUUGUUUCAACUUUCAAGUUAUAAGAAACAAAACUAACCAUCAUUAUCUAUUUCAAUGACACUAACAAUAUGACAAAAAAUAUAAUCUAAUUUUUUUUAAUGACACCAACAAAAAUCUUUAUUAUAGAAAAAGUUAUUUAAAAGUAUAAUUGGAAUGAUGAAAAAGUAAGUAUAAAUAUACUCAUCUAGUUUGUUACACUUUUUAAAUGAUAAAGGAAGAAAAAAAAAACAGACAUACAUAUCGUGUUUGUUACAUUUUGUUAAUAUUUAAAUUUAUUCUUAUCUAUUUGUUAAGAUAAAAAGUUUAGGGCAUUUUUGAAAAGAGAAAAAGCCAACUAAUAAAAGUUAAAAGGGAUUAUUUUCUUUAUAUAUAAUAUUGAUGAAUUUAAACUAAAUUUUUAAUUAAUAAUUUAAAUUUCCAUUAUAGCGGUGUUGUUCCUAUUUUAAAAUAAUGUAAAAAGGUAAAAUUGUGAAUAUAAUAAUUUACAAUUUGAUGAUAGUGAAUGAUUAACGAUCAUUAAGUUGCAAGAAAAUCCCGUAAAAACUUGAGUUUCUUUUUUCUGGUUGAAGGUGAAGUUUCCAUCAUUUCACCUCAACUAUCAUGACUGGUGGCUUUCACCCUUCACUAUUUUGGACAUUGGUUAAUUUUAUGUUUGUUUGUUUCUGUUGGCGUUUCAGUGUAGUGACCUUUAUAAAUAUUGUAUAAACUCUGUUCUUGCAUGUCUUAUGUUAGGAAGGACUUUUUGUGAUGGUAAUAUAUUUCAUUUUAGCCUCUUCAAAAAAAAAAAUUAAUGUCAUGUAAUAAUUAAUUCAUUUGGAUGAUUUUAUAUCAACUCAUCGUAUAUCCCGUCAUUUAAAAUAUGUUAUAUCAUCAUUUGUCAAUAUAAAUUUAAAAAAUGGAUCACGAGAAAUGGGGGAACCAAUCCCGUGAACAAGUAAAAAUAUGAGUGCAAUAUCAAACGUGUUAUUUUACCAUGACUUCAUAAUAUUUUUGGUGUUGAAAAUUUCAUAUCCAAGCGAAUGAGACUCCGGUAAUCCAAAGUUUAUCUCAAAGGAUUCGUCAUUUGAUGGAGUUCAUUAACGACCUAUAUAACUCAAUUGCUUGAUUUGUCACUUUAUCUACAAUACUUCUAUACUAGAUUACAUGGUUUUGGCCUGAGUUUUUCAGUUCCAUAUCAUUAAGCAAGUUUGCCUAUAAAAAUGCUAUUUGUUGAUGUCAUUAAAAAAUAUAAAAUUUUAUAUUAUAUUUAAUAUAUCGUUGGUGUUAUUAAAAAAGAUAAAUAUAGUUUGUUACAUUAUGAAAUUGUAAAAAAAAAAAAAAAUAUAUAUCUAUAAUUUUAAUUAAAAUAAAAAUAAUUGUAAUAAAAAUCAAAUUCAUAAAAACUAUUGUUCAUACUUUAUGCGUAUUAUUACAAUAAAAAGAGCGGACAAACGAACAUGGAGUCUGAACGUCAGGUAAUAAUAUUUAUAGUAUUAAUGGAAGUUUUUAUACGAUUCAUGAUUCACCCAAUUCCACGUUUGGAUGACUCUCUAAUAAUAUAUUAGUCUUAAUAGAAUAUGAUUUAUAUAUCCAAUUAAUUAAAUGUGCUUAAAUUCGUUUGAGUCGACUAAAUCAGUAAAAUCAAACACAAUUCCACAAUGAACCACAAGUUGUAAAAGCAGCAAAAUCAAACUCUAUCAUGCAACAUGCAAUAUGCAAGAAGUUAAGAGAAGACACAAUUUAAAAAUGAAAGAAAAACACGAAAGAUGAUAGUUAAUCUUUGAUGAAAAUGAAACCUGGGUCUUGGGUACAGCAACAGGUAGGUGACGAUUUGAGGUAAUAGACUGAGAAACAAAGAAGUCUUUAGGAAAAAAGAAAACUAUGAUGCAUCCAGUAAGAACUCCAAUGAUUACAGUGGUAAUGAUCCUUGAUAUGAGUAGAGAUUGAGGGCUGUUCUUCAUCAAGGGUCCUUCUCUUUCUCUGCGCUCAAUCAUUGUAUCCACCACCAACUCAAAGACUGAGAUUGAAAUGGAAGUUUUGUUUUGUUCUGGUUAUAUAGGGUUUUGAAGCUUUGGAGGGUUAAUUAAGAAAUGGAGAAUUGGGUUGUCAGUUUGAGCACAGAUAUUCAGUACUUCGACUUUGAAACUGAAUUUGAUUGAACUACUAGCCUCUCAAACAUAUUCUUGAUGGGAAUAUGAGAAUUCAUCUAUACCUAUAUAUAGAAAAAGGAAUGUGUGAUUUUGGAGUGAUUUUUUCCUAAUGACAUCUUUGUUUCUCAAUCUAUUACCUCAAUGAAAAAAUUUCACUUGAGUCCAUUAUACGAUAAAGGAACAUGUGCAUACGAUAAUUGAACAUGUGCAUAAAAUUUCACUUGAUUGGGCAAACAAUUUUUUAAUUAUUAAAAGUAUACAUGGUGCAAUUAUACUUGAAGGUCUUUAAUUUUAAUCACCAUAUUUUCAACUGUUAUGGAGAUUCACAGUGGGGGCUUUACGACUAUUGAGUUGAUUCUAUUAGAAUAGUCUUUACGACUAUUUCUGCAAGAUAUCGAACUAUCGUCUGAAUUUUUAAUACGAGCUAUCGAAUUCUAUGGUUCAUUAAACCUAGUAUUAUGGGAAUUUUAAAAUCAGUUGAGUGACACUAAAAAAACUAACACGAUAUUGUAAGAUGACAUCUACAUUUUAAAAUGUGUUUUGAUGCAUGUUACUUACUUAACGCCAUCUAUACCAUGCUAUUCCCAUACUCAUACUGCUAGUAUUACUCAUAUAUUUUUUAUUUUUUAUUUUUUUGAAAUAGAAACUAGCUGCAUAUUUACUUUUGCAUUAUCGUCAACUACUAGCAUGUGAAAAUUCAUGAGCAUGAUGAAUUAUUAAAAGAUAUAUAUGUCCAUAAAUUCUUUCCAAAGGCAGUCAGUAUGAAAUUAAUUGUAUAUGUCAAUUUGAUUGUCACGGGUUAAUAUUCUCAUAUAACCUUACGACUCAUAAUUCUUCAAUUUGUUUUUUUGUUACCAUCAUAAUUCUUCUUUUAAUGCACAUAUACAUGAUGUAUGCACCAACCUGCAAUAUAUAUAUAUAUAUAUAUAUUUUACGAAACUCUUUGAAUAGAACAAGUACAAAAAUAGAGAGAAGGAGAGAGGAAGAUAAAAGAACAAGAAUAGAGAGAAUGAGAGAGGAAGAGAAGAGAAGAUCAUUCUAUUAUUCUCUUGAGUGUAUAUGUAUGUUACAUGUGAGCUUUUAACGCUGUGUACAAUUAAAGAGUGUCAAUAUAUCAUUUUCCCUUUAUUUAUAGAGAAAUACAAUAAUAUAACAUGAAGUGAGUAGUAUGAUCCAAUAACUCAAAAAUUAAUAGACACCCACUUAUAAUAUUGAUAACAUUGUCUCUUGGAUGUCCAAUGAGGAUAGACCUUAAUAAAACCUUAACAGAAAAGAAAUACCAACAACCCACGUAAAAACAAUUAUAUAUGAGACGAAGAAGGUCAAAUAAUCUUUCGUACUAUAGUUAUUCAAAAGAUUUACUUGACAGUGUCUUUGUAGAAAGAAAUGGUUUAUCAUUAUACUCUUCUCCAAAUUAGCAGUGUUUGAGAUAUUAUCUUCAUAUUGAGUUGUUGCCAGGGUUUCCAUAAGAAAACCACAAGUUUCUUGUAUGUGUAAAAUUUUAAUCCUUAGUAAAAAAACAUUCUCCUCUUUCUUGAUGUAGUCCUAACAUUUUCAAAUGAUGGGAUGAUAUUGUUGUUUUUCUAAAAUUCAAAUUGUAUACUUGACUUUGUACCAAUAACUUAAUGUUUAAUAAUAAUAUUGACAAAAAUAAAAUACCACGAUAUAUAUAAUUAGGAAAAUACGUUAGUACCCUCAUUUGGAUAGGUAGAUGUUUCACUAGCUAAUGCAGAAGGCAAGGUAGAAAAUGUGAUAGUUACGAUGGACAACUUCGCAUUUCCAACAAGCACAACAGUGAUGGAGAUGAGAGAACUUUACGAGUGUUGCUGAUCAAAUUGGAGGACAAUUCUCCGAUGCUGAAUGUUGCAGGAUAAGGUAAGAAACCCACAUUCAAAUGUCUAAUAAAAGAACAAAAUAACAAAGGUGAACUGGUCAGAGUUGAAGUUAGUAGAAGAGCCUGAAGAGGUAGAUUUUAUUCAAGAUGAUGAACCUAUGGAGAAGUUAGUAAAAGAACAAAUUAAUGCAAUUUAUUUAUUCAAUUAUGAUUAAAGUCUUACUUUAUUUUCAAUUGUUAUGAUCAUUAUAAUUGUUUUAAACCCUAGGUUUGACAAACCUAAAUAUCUAUGUAUGUCCUCUAGGUUAAGGUAUAAGAAUGAAGAUCUUGCUUUAACCCGAACAAGAACAAUAUAAACUUUGCUUAAUUAUCUUUAAUUAAUUAGGAUUAAUUAGGGAUUUUACAAUGUGGGUAAUUAUCCACCAUUUUUUAAAUGCGAUCUAGGCUUCACCAGAAAGAUUUCAAUAUUUUCUAAUGCCUUUACCAAAAGUUCCAAACACCCUAACAUUGCAUAAAAGCCACUAUUGCAUAUAUGAAAUUAUGUGACAUUUGGUAGGUAACAUUCAUAAAAAUGUUACUAUUUAACAAUAUUUGAAACAUUUAAAAAAAAAUGUUAUUAACACCAUUACACUUUUUAGUUCAUUUAAACAAUAUAAAAGGUGUUUCAUUUGUUGUGUGUGUCUAAUAUAUAUAUAUAUAUAUAUAAAAGGUGUUGAGUACAUGUGUCACAUGUUUUUUUUUUUUUUUGCCUUUUUUCUUUCUCUCUCUAGACAUUGUAUUGCUCUCUCCUCUCUCUAGAAAACAAACUCNUUCAGAUUUUUUUCGAAAAUAAAAAGAUUUUAAAAAAUUCUGGAAUUUAAUUUUCAAAAUACAAAAAAAGCAAAAAUUCAAAAGUUUAAAAAAAAAUGUCAGAUUUUUUUCGAAAAAAAAGUUUUUAAAUUUUUUUUCUACAAAAUUUAAAUUUUGGAAAAUAUUUUAUUUUUUAAUAAUCUCGAUACAAAUUUAGAAAAAAUUCAGAUUAUUUUUUUCAAAAAAUUUUAUUUCAGAAUUAUGAUUAUUUUAUUUCAAAAUUUUAUUAUUUUCAAAAAAAUUUAGAUUACUCUAAAAAUCAUUUUUUUACGAAAUUAUGAAGAUUAGACGAUUUUGGCUGAUUCUAACAAAAAGCCAUUUUGGCUAAUUAUUAGAAAAUAUAUUUCGAACAAGUUCAGAUUUUUCUUUUCAAAUUAAAAGUAAUUCUCCAGGUUUUUUUUUUAUAAAAAAAUCCUGAUUUUUUUUUUUAUUUUCGAAGAUUAAUUUUCCAAUUUUUUUAUUUCUAAAUUAAUAUAAAUGAAUUUAUAUUAUUUUUAAAAAUUAAUUUUAGAUACUUAGGUGUUGUUGGUACAUGGUUAGAUAUGAUGAACUUCCUUUAUCCAACGGUCUUGUUUUUUAGGGAUUUAAAAUUAAUAAAAUUGGACCAAAUCGAUGAAGAAAACAAAGAUAAGGACCAAAUAAAAAUAUUUAAUAGUUAAUGGACUAAACUGAGAAAUUAAAAUAAAUUAAGGGACGAGGAUGUAUUAAGCCAUAUAUAUAUAUAUAUAUAUAUAUAUAUAUAAAAGAAGCUAGCCGCAAAAAAGGAAUCAUCGGACUUUGGCACAUCACGGUUUGGGAGAUCCAAAAGUUGAGGAGAAAGAAGCUACGGACUGCACAGCUAGAAGAAAUAACGGCAACACAAAGAUAAGAAUUUGAUAAACUAUUAUGGUAUCAAUGAAUUUCUCUUUUGUUCUACGUUGUUUAUUUUCUUUAAUAAUGAGUAGCUAAUUUUUCAAUUGGUUGAGACUUAGAUGAAUAUGAUAUAAUUGUAUGAGAAUCCUAGUUUGUUGAACUCUUUUGAAUAUCAAUAAAAGUCUAGAUUUUAUUCAUAUUACUUUAUGUUUAAUGCUUUUUGUAUGUUUAUCAUCGACUACUAACCCUAGCUUCAUGAAUAUACAAAUUGAUCUUAGAGAUUGAAUGACCACUAACCAUGACUUUUGACUCUGAUCUAGGUAAUAUGUUUAACUUAAGUAAUCAAGCUAGAGAUAGACCAUUAUUAGGUUAUGACAUAGGGAUUAACGUUCUAUUAAAACCUCCAACGGUUUCGAAUUCACUUAAGACAUUAAGGGGUUGUUAUUUGCAGGGAGAAUUCUAGGUCAAGAGAUUGGGUAGAGUUACUUUGUUAAUCUAUCGGGAAGCUAGAUAAUCAUUGCUUGAAUUAGGAGUGCAAAUUACCAUAGGAGAACUUCGGAGGAUUCGAAGGUCUUAACCAUGCUUCUCUCAAUUUUAUUUUUAAGGAUUCUCUCAAAUUUUCUAAAACCAACUUUUAUUGUUUUUAUUUCAUUUAUAUUACAAAAAUCAACUCACCUGCCUAGGGCACACCAUUGAAUUUUAUACAUUCUAAAUAUUAACCUUAUUGCUAACUUGAGAUUAACAUAGUCCUCGUGGAUACGAACUUAUUUUUAUUACUUCGAUACAUUUUUAGUACACUUGCUAAAAGUCUAUCAAGUUUUUGACGCCGCUGUCGGGGACAAGUAACUUGAUAAAGCGAUAGUACCCAAAAGUUCAUCUCCCUACUAGCUAAAAAUGAGCUAGUUUGACUUGCUUGCAUCCACCAUACACAACUCCACUCAACAAUUUGAUAAAGGUUCACACAGUCGACAUGUAGGUCUACAUAUUACCAUGCGCUUGAAAAGUUUCUAAACGUCAAUCAAAAUCAAUGUCAUUACACACUUUGAGGUCUUUAAGGGUUAUAACGGGGCUUAGGUAAAGGUGUGAUAUUAUUUGGAUAAGUAGACUACAUAAAAUUUGAGUUAGGCACUCCUAUUGAAAUUAAAGCAUGGAUUCAAUCACUCAUUCAUCCCUUGAAACAACAAUAUGUAAAGGUACUAGAGAAUAUUUGUAACUUGUUGGGACAAUCGAGUUUAAAGUUACUCAGAUUUUUCAUUGUUCGUCCCUUUUUCAUUCUAUAUUUUUUUAUACACCAUUUCUUAGUGUAUUUUUCAUGAUAAUGUUCUUUGUUCUCUAGUACCCUCACCCUAAACUUAGUUGGUUGCAAAUUUCAAUAGCAACCCCAAACUUAUUGUUUAGCAACACCUUACAUAGCCUAACUCAAAUAUAACAUUUUUGGGUUAAAUCCUAAAAGUCUCUAGGCUCAAUAUGUCGUUUGUCACCGAACAAAAAGAUCUAAACCUACCGGUUCAAAUUGGCUUUCAAAAAGGAUAAAUUCAAUCAAAAUCAAGGUAGGCUUGAAUAGACUCACAUGACCAAGCACUUUUGCCUCAGUCUAUAUAUGACAAAGAUCAAUCAACAGUAAAGAAACAAUGCACGACUGACAUCUGACAAGUUAUUGAAAAAAAAAAAAAAAGAACUGAUGUGGAUUUUGAUUUUUUUUUUGUCCAUCUUUUCACUUUUUUUUUUUUUUGCUUUUUUUUUAUUGAAUAAAAAUACCUGCAAAAUAAAAAACAUUAAAAAAAAAGGAUGGGUUGCCUCCCACCAAGCGCUUUCUUUUACGUCAUUGAGUUUGACGCUUCAACCACUGUUAGGGUGGCAAAAAUGAUAGAAAGAAUAUAUCAUCCUUCUUCUUUCUCUUGUUUGGUAGGAAUUCUAUGAAUUUGACACAAAGAAUCAGAUACUCCCAUGCACCCACUGUUAAACCUUUGGAAUUUAAGAUCUCCCACCUUAGAGAAGGACAUGCAUCCAUCUGCACACGAGUGAUUUCCUUAAUCCCCGUUGGUUCAAACUUCGGGAAAAUAUCAACACUCCUCACUUUAAGAUUUUCUUCCACUACAACCUUGUGACACUCAGUCUCCAUCUGAACCAACUUUCUAUGAGACUCAUGUGCUUUCUCAACAAAAUCACCACAGUGAACAUCAAACUUCUCAAAUGAAACUUGAUUUGACACCAAGAAAUCAUCUAAAAUAUUUUGAAGUUGAGUAUUGUAAUCGAUGUUGAUCACCUCGUGCUCUUUUUCUUUAACUAUGUAUUGCUCCUCGCAAAAGGUACUACAAUGAUAACCUCCACAAAAUUCGCAACACAUACUCAAUCUUGUUUCCAAAUCCUUUAUAUGUAGAGAUAUCAUGCAUUUUUCAUAGCGUAGGAUUUCAAUCUCUUCAGAGUCUACCAGAAUUCGACUAUCCCACAUUUCUAAAAGCUCACAUAAACCUUUCAGUAGCACAGCAUAAAGAAAUAUAUUCGAAGAGCAUAAAUCAUAAUAUACCUUUUUCAAUAUUUUUUUAAUAUAUGAACAAAAAUAUAAAUGACAAAAAUCCUAAAUAAAAAACAAAAUUGUCAAGUUGAAAUGAUUUAACAGUCUCCGACAGCGGCGCCAAAAACUUGAUAAAGAUUUGGCAAGUGAACCAAAACUAUCGAAAUAAUAAAUAAAUUCGUAUCCACGAGGACCCCGUUGUUAACUUCUACUCAACAAUUUCUUUAUCAAAAAGGAUGUAUUAAAUUCAAGGUUGCCCUAGGUAGUUGGAUUGGUAUUUGUAAAAUAAACGGAUUAAAAACAAUAAAAGUUUGGUUUUAGAAAAUUAGAGAGAGAUGUAUGGUUAAGACCUUUGAAUCCUCCGAAGUUCUCCUAUGGUAAUUUGCACUCCUAAUUCAAUCAAUGAUUAUCUAGUUCAACGACAGAUUAACAAAGUAACUCUACCCAAUCUCUUGACCUAGAGUUCUCCCCGCAAGUAACAACCCCUUAAUCUCUUAAGUGAAUUCGAAACCAUUGGAGGUUUUAACAGAACGUUUAUCCAUAUGUCAUAACCUAAUAAUGAUCAAUCUCUAGCUUGAUUACUUAGGUUAACCUAUUACCUAGAUCAGAGUCAAAAGCCAGGGUUAGUGGUCAUUCAAUCUCUAACAUCAAUUUGCAUAUUCAUAAAGCUAGGGUUAUUAGUCGAUGAUAAACAAUACAAAAAGCAUUAAACACAAAGUAAUAUGAAUAAAAACUAGACUUUCAUUGACAUUCAAAGGAGUUCAACAAAUCAGGGUUCCCAUAUGAUUACAUUAGAUUCAUCUCAGUCUCAACCACAAAGAAAUUAGUUACUCAUAUCUAAAGUACAAGAUAACUCACAUAAAAACAAGGAUUCAUACAUGUAUUGGAUGAUUGACUAUGGGUUGUGAUGAUCUCCCACCAAAUCUACAAAGUCUCUAGGCCAAUUAUCUAUUUUCUCUCUAAAAUCGUGAACCCUUACUUUGAAAACGAACUUUUCUAUUUAUAAGCCUGUCAAAAUCGGCCACCGAGCCCAAAAUUCGGUGGUUGAAUGCAUUAAAAUGUGUGCCCAGUCUAGCAAAAUCGGUGGCCGAUUUUUGUCGAAUCAAAAGGGAAAAAAUCAGCAGCAAAUUUGGUGGCCGAUUUGUAAAUUCGGUUGCCGAAUUCUGACUUCUUCAAACUUCAAUUUCUUGUUCUUUUGUAGCUUGCAGCUCCAUGAAUCACAAUGAAUAUCCUUAAAAUUACAUGAAAAAUGUCAGAGUGUCAUCAGGCGUGACGUCGAUUCAUGCUUUUAUAGUAUGAGACGUAGUAACCGUUCGCUAGAAACACAACACAAAUUAAGUGCGGAAAGCCGUUAGAGAUCAAUUAGAUGACCAUGAUGUGACGAGAGCGCGCCUAUGCGGCAACAUAUAUAGGAGGUCCACUGUGGAACUCUGCUACCCAAGGAUUCAGGGUUAAUAGGUCUACUAGUGUUGGCCGGCGAAGUGGGCUUCUGCCCAGUCCGAAACAAAAUCCUUCAUACAAAAAAGUCAAACCCAAUGCUAUAAAGCUCCCAACAUAAUAACAAAAUAUAAACAUGAGUACAAGACCACUAUAGUUUCGUAUAAACUUUAUUCCAGGUUUCAUACUUUGUUUACAAAUGUGUCUUAUUUCAUGUAUUUUCCAAUGCCUUUCACCCAAAGUUCCUAAUUCCCUAACAUUGCACAUAAGCUUGCACAAUGUGUUUAUGAAGAUGAGAUAAAACACCAAAAAAAUUAAAUUAGCAUACGACAAAUGUUACAGUACCAAAAUAAGGGUAUAUGCAUAAGUCAUUGUGCUCCUAAGACACAGAAACAAGGUUACCACUUUGAGCCAUCAGGGAAAGGUUUGAGAGCAUCUUGGUUCCCAUUAACAUAAUAUUCAACAACUGCUUUCAUUCGCGGAAGCUUAUCAGGGUGGUAAU